This 73-nucleotide transfer RNA is filed under the name Camelus bactrianus (Bactrian camel). It matches the Rfam family "tRNA". Rfam says of the family: Transfer RNA (tRNA) molecules are approximately 80 nucleotides in length. Their secondary structure includes four short double-helical elements and three loops (D, anti-codon, and T loops). Further hydrogen bonds mediate the characteristic L-shaped molecular structure. tRNAs have two regions of fundamental functional importance: the anti-codon, which is responsible for specific mRNA codon recognition, and the 3' end, to which the tRNAs corresponding amino acid is attached (by aminoacyl-tRNA synthetases). tRNAs cope with the degeneracy of the genetic code in two manners: having more than one tRNA (with a specific anti-codon) for a particular amino acid; and 'wobble' base-pairing, i.e. permitting non-standard base-pairing at the 3rd anti-codon position. RNAcentral also lists the same sequence under 1 other name. Lineage: Eukaryota; Metazoa; Chordata; Mammalia; Artiodactyla; Camelidae. The record is from Rfam by way of RNAcentral.
CGGUGUAUAGCUCAGUGGUAGAGCACAGUGCUUAGCAUGUGCAAGAUCCUGGUUUCAAUCACCAGUACUUCCA